This 229-nucleotide unclassified non-coding RNA is filed under the name plant metagenome. RNAcentral describes it as "partial contains small subunit ribosomal RNA, internal transcribed spacer 1, and 5.8S ribosomal RNA". The record is from RNAcentral.
UCUCCGUAGGUGAACCUGCGGAGGGAUCAUUACAGAGUUCAUGCCCUACCGGGUAGAUCUCCCACCCUAUGUUAUUAUUACUUUGUUGCUUUGGCGGGCCGUUAGGCUCCGGCCCGACAACCGGCCCCGGCUGGUAAGCGCCCGCCAGAGGACCCAAAACCCUGAAUAUUAGUGUCGUCUGAGUACUAUAUAAUAGUUAAAACUUUCAACAACGGAUCUCUUGGUUCUG